GAUGAACGCUGGCGGCGUGCCUAAUACAUGCAAGUCGAGCGAACAGAUGAGGAGCUUGCUCCUCUGACGUUAGCGGCGGACGGGUGAGUAACACGUGGAUAACCUACCUAUAAGACUGGGAUAACUUCGGGAAACCGGAGCUAAUACCGGAUAAUAUAUUGAACCGCAUGGUUCAAUAGUGAAAGACGGUUUUGCUGUCACUUAUAGAUGGAUCCGCGCCGCAUUAGCUAGUUGGUAAGGUAACGGCUUACCAAGGCAACGAUGCGUAGCCGACCUGAGAGGGGGAUCGGCCACACUGGAACUGAGACACGGUCCAGACUCCUACGGGAGGCAGCAGUAGGGAAUCUUCCGAAAUGGGCGAAAGCCUGACGGAGCAACGCCGCGUGAGUGAUGAAGGUCUUCGGAUCGUAAAACUCUGUUAUUAGUGAAGAACAAAUGUGUAAGUAACUAUGCACGUCUUGACGGUACCUAAUCAGAAAGCCACGGCUAACUACGUG
RNAcentral lists this ribosomal RNA (497 nucleotides) under uncultured bacterium. RNAcentral's name for it is "partial 16S ribosomal RNA". It matches the Rfam family "Bacterial small subunit ribosomal RNA", at positions 28 to 507 of the family's 1533-position model. The record is from RNAcentral.